UGGUGUUUCUUCGUCUUCUGUAGCC
Molecule: non-coding RNA, 25 nt
Filed under: Mus musculus (house mouse)
Lineage: Eukaryota; Metazoa; Chordata; Mammalia; Rodentia; Muridae
Source: RNAcentral